RNAcentral lists this ribosomal RNA (1198 nucleotides) under uncultured Aeromonas sp. Its description in RNAcentral is "bacterial SSU rRNA". It matches the Rfam family "Bacterial small subunit ribosomal RNA", at positions 276 to 1460 of the family's 1533-position model. The record is from RNAcentral. Lineage: Bacteria; Pseudomonadati; Pseudomonadota; Gammaproteobacteria; Aeromonadales; Aeromonadaceae.
ACGAUCCCUAGCUGGUCUGAGAGGAUGAUCAGCCACACUGGAACUAGACACGGUCCAGACUCCUACGGGAGGCAGCAGUGGGGAAUAUUGCACAAUGGGGGAAACCCUGAUGCAGCCAUGCCGCGUGUGUGAAGCCUUCGGGUUGUAAAGCACUUUCAGCGAGGAGAGAAAGGUCAGUGAUACCUAAUACGUAUCAGCUGUGACGUUACUCGCAGAAGAAGCCAGACCGGYUAACUYCGUGCCAGCAGCCGCCCGGUAAUACGGAGGGUGCAAGCGUUAAUCGGAAUUACUUGCGUAAAGCGCACGGCGGUUGGAUAAGUUAGAUGUGAAAGCCCCGGGCUCAACCUGGGAAUUGCAUUAUAAAACUGUCCAGCUAUCUUGUAGAGGGGGGUAGAAUUCCAGGUGUAGCGGUGAAAUGCGUAGAGAUCUGGAGGAAUACUCGGUGGCGAAGGCGGCCCCCGACAAAGACUGACGCUCAGGUGCAGCGAAAGCGUGGGGAGCAAACAGGAUUAGAUACCCUGGUAGUCCACGCCGUAAACGAUGUCGAUUUGGAGGCUGUGUCCUUGAGACGUGGCUUCCGGAGCUAACGCGUAAAUCGACCGCCUGGCAGGGAGUACGGCCCAAGGUUAAAACUCAAAUGAAUUGACGGGGCAGCGCACAAGCGGUGGAGCAUGUGGUUUAAUUCGAUGCAACGCGAAGAACCUUACCUGGCCUUGACAUGUCUGGAAUCCUGCAGAGAUGCGGGAGUGCCUUCGGGAAUCAGAACACAGGUGCUGCAUGGCUGUCGUCCAGCUCUCGUGAGAUUUGGGGAGUUAAGUCCCGCAACGAGCGCAACCCCUGUCCUUUGUUGCCAGCACGUAAUGGUGGGAACUCAAGGGAGACUGCCGGUGAUAAACCGGAGGAAGGUGGGGAUGACGUCAAGUCAUCAUGGCCCUUACGGCCAGGGCUACACACGUGCUACAUGGCGCGUACAGAGGGCUGCAAGCUAGCGAUAGUGAGCGAGGAAUCCCAAAAAGCGCGUCGUCAGAGAGGUCCGGAUCGGAGUCUGCAACUCGACUCCGUGAAGUCGGAAUCGCUAGUAAUGCAAAUCAGAAUGUUGCGGUGAAUACGCCCGGGCCUUGUACACACCGCCCGUCACACCAAAUGGGUGGGUUGCACCAGAAGUAGAUAGCUUAACCUUCGCGACGGCGUUUACCAC